RNAcentral lists this ribosomal RNA (425 nucleotides) under Glyptophysa sp. 10 PGA-2018. RNAcentral describes it as "partial large subunit ribosomal RNA". Lineage: Eukaryota; Metazoa; Mollusca; Gastropoda; Planorbidae. The record is from RNAcentral.
AGUUUAAAGUAAUCUUUUUAAAUGUGUCCUGCCCAGUGUUUUUAUAAAUGGCCGCAGUACCCUGACUGUGCAAAGGUAGCAUAAUCAAUUGGCUUUUAAUUAAAGUCUGGAAUGAAAGGAUUUAUGAGAAAAGACUGUCUUAAAAAUAUUUAAUUUAAUUUAUUUAUUAGGUGAAAAUACCUAUUUUAUAGAAAAAAGACGAGAAGACCCUUAGAAUUUUAAUAAUAUAUUUUAAAUAAUUAUUUUUGUUGGGGCGACAGUUAAGCAAUUAAACCUUAAUUUUUUUAAAACGAAAUUGUUAUAAUAGAUUAAAUUACCUUAGGGAUAACAGCAUUAUUUUUAAAAGUUUGUGACCUCGAUGUUGGACUAGGAACUUUAUGGCUAGCAGUCUAAAAAGAUUUGUUCUGUUCGAACAAUUAAAUCCU